Molecule: ribosomal RNA, 253 nt
Filed under: uncultured bacterium
Lineage: Bacteria
Description: partial 16S ribosomal RNA
Rfam family: Bacterial small subunit ribosomal RNA
Source: RNAcentral
UACGUAGGCCCCGAGCAUUAUCCGGAAUCACUGGGCGUAAAGCGUGUGUAGGUGGUCAUAUUAGUCGUCUGUUAAAACCCCGGGCCUAACCCGGGAAGUGCGGGCGAAACGGUAUGACUCGAGGGUGUGAGAGGUGCAUAGAACUCUAGGUGUAGGGGUGAAAUCCGUUGAUAUCUAGGGGAAUACCGAAAGCGAAGGCAGUGCACUGGCGCAUUCCUGACACUCAAACACGAAAGCGUGGGUAGCGAACGGG